GGAUCAUGGUGCCGAGCAGCUCAGCAAGGAUGGCGCACCAGAAUUGCCGACUGCGUAGCUCCAUGGAGAAAGGAGACAUAAACAAAGAAGAGGGAACCUUAGGGAUAGGAAGGAACAUCAUCUUCCCUGGCUGAAUCUACAAUAGGAAUCUCAUGAAAUCUAGAGACCAACUAUUUUGACGAUGGAGAGCUCGUCUGAGGACGACCUAGAGAGAGAGAACUAUUAAAGCCAUGAAAUCCGGACUAUCCACUGAUAGACAGAAAUUCACUCAUGCUCGUAACAAGGUAACCCAAACAAUAAGACAGGCCAAAGCAAACUUUUUCAUCAAUAUAAUUGAAGGUGCGAAAGGUAACAGUAAAAACGUUUGGCAAAUCCUAAAUAAACUAUUAGGUAAACAAACCAAACAGGAAAAUAAUGUACUAGAAUUAAUAAUCAAUGAUUCCCUGAUAAAAGACCCUGCCGUGUUGGCCAGCUCACUCAAUGAGUAUUUCUUAAAUAAUGCUUUGGACAUUGCAAAGCUCUUCCCGCCAUCUGAGGUCUCACCUAGCCCGACUGUGGAUACACACCCCGUUUUUGACCUGGAGGAAAUCACAGAGGUUGAGGUAAAAAAUAUAAUCUUAGGGUUAAGAGGUUCUAAGGCUAGGGAUCCGUAUGAUUUAGACACCAACUUUAUAAAGACACAUAUCGACGGUCUAAUAAAAUCAAUUAGUAUGCUAGUAAAUCAAUCUAUCAGCACGAGGGAAGUUCCAUCAUCCUGG
Molecule: long non-coding RNA, 758 nt
Organism: Notothenia coriiceps (black rockcod)
Lineage: Eukaryota; Metazoa; Chordata; Actinopteri; Perciformes; Nototheniidae
Exons: 3
Source: RefSeq, a predicted model, not a curated record